This 253-nucleotide ribosomal RNA is filed under the name uncultured bacterium. Its description in RNAcentral is "partial 16S ribosomal RNA". It matches the Rfam family "Bacterial small subunit ribosomal RNA", at positions 524 to 776 of the family's 1533-position model. The record is from RNAcentral.
UACGGAGUGUGCAAGCGUUACUCGGAAUCACUGGGCAUAAAGAGCACGUAGGUGGGAAGGCAUGUCCGUGGUGAAAUCCCCCAGCUCAACUGGGGAACUGCUUCGGAAACUGCUUUUCUUGAGGACGAGAGGGGAGAGUGGAACUUCUGGUGGAGCGGUGAAAUGCGUAGAUAUCAGAAGGAACACCGGUGGCGAAAGCGGUUCUCUGGGCCUUACCUGACACUGAGGAGCGAAAGCGUGGGGAGCGAACAGG